RNAcentral lists this ribosomal RNA (224 nucleotides) under uncultured bacterium. RNAcentral's name for it is "partial 16S ribosomal RNA". It matches the Rfam family "Bacterial small subunit ribosomal RNA", at positions 328 to 539 of the family's 1533-position model. The record is from RNAcentral.
ACGCUCGACACCUACGGGAGGCAGCAGUAGGGAAUUUUCGGCAAUGGGGGGGAACCCUGACCGAGCAACGCCGCGUGAAGGAAGAAGGAAUUCGUUCUGUAAACUUCUGUUAUAAAGGAAGAACGGCGGAUAUAGGGAAUGAUAUCCGAGUGACGGUACUUUAUGAGAAAGCCACGGCUAACUACGUGCCAACAGCCGCGGUAAUCUGAGCGGGCUGGCAAGGC